AUUGAACGCUGGCGGCAGGCCUAACACAUGCAAGUCGAGCGGAUGAAGGGGGCUUGCUCCUGGAUUCAGCGGCGGACGGGUGAGUAAUGCCUAGGAAUCUGCCUGGUAGUGGGGGAUAACGUCCGGAAACGGGCGCUAAUACCGCAUACGUCCUGAGGGAGAAAGUGGGGGAUCUUCGGACCUCACGCUAUCAGAUGAGCCUAGGUCGGAUUAGCUAGUUGGUGGGGUAAAGGCCUACCAGGGCGACGAUCCGUAACUGGUCUGAGAGGAUGAUCAGUCACACUGGAACUGAGACACGGUCCAGACUCCUACGGGAGGCAGCAGUGGGGAAUAUUGGACAAAGGGCGAAAGCCUGAUCCAGCCAUGCCGCGUGUGUGAAGAAGGUCUUCGGAUUGUAAAGCACUUUAAGUUGGGAGGAAGGGCAGUAAGUUAAUACCUUGCUGUUUUGACGUUACCAACAGAAUAAGCACCGGCUAACUUCGUG
Molecule: ribosomal RNA, 484 nt
Filed under: uncultured bacterium
Lineage: Bacteria
Description: partial 16S ribosomal RNA
Rfam family: Bacterial small subunit ribosomal RNA
Source: RNAcentral